RNAcentral lists this ribosomal RNA (253 nucleotides) under uncultured bacterium. Its description in RNAcentral is "partial 16S ribosomal RNA". It matches the Rfam family "Bacterial small subunit ribosomal RNA", at positions 524 to 776 of the family's 1533-position model. The record is from RNAcentral.
UACGGAGGGAGCUAGCGGUGUUCGGAAUUACUGGGCGUAAAGCGCACGUAGGCGGCUUUUUAAGUCAGAGGUGAAAUCCCGGGGCUCAACCUCGGAACUGCCUUUGAAACUGGAAAGCUAGAAUCUUGGAGAGGCGAGUGGAAUUCCGAGUGUAGAGGUGAAAUUCGUAGAUAUUCGGAAGAACACCAGUGGCGAAGGCGACUCGCUGGACAAGUAUUGACGCUGAGGUGCGAAAGCGUGGGGAGCAAACAGG